AGGAUUAACGCUGGCGGCAUGCCUAAUACAUGCAAGUCGAAUGGGGAGCUUGCUUCCCAUGGCGAACGGGUGAGUAAUACGUAGGUAACCUACCUUUAGGACGAGGAUAACCUUUGGAAACGAAGGAUAAUACUGGAUAGUAUAGAUUUCCGCAUGGAGAUAUAUUUAAAGAUUUAUCACCUAGAGAGGGGCCUGCGGUGCAUUAGCUAGUUGGCGGGAUAAAAGCCCACCAAGGCGAUGAUGCAUAGCCGGACUGAGAGGUUGUACGGCCACAAUGGAACUGAGAACGGUCCAUACUCCUACGGGAGGCAGCAGUAGGGAAUUUUCGGCAAUGGGCGGAAGCCUGACCGAGCAAUGCCGCGUGAAUGAUGAAGUAUUUCGGUAUGUAAAGUUCUUUUAUCUAGGAAGAAAAACAAAUUGACGGUACUAGAUGAAUAAGCUCCGGCUAACUACGUGCCAGCAGCAGC
This 467-nucleotide ribosomal RNA is filed under the name uncultured bacterium. RNAcentral describes it as "bacterial SSU rRNA". It matches the Rfam family "Bacterial small subunit ribosomal RNA", at positions 26 to 518 of the family's 1533-position model. The record is from RNAcentral.